AGGACGAACGCUGGCGGCGUGCUUAACACAUGCAAGUCGAACGGUGACCCUCGGAGCUUGCUUCGGGGUGAUCAGUGGCGAACGGGUGAGUAACACGUGAGUAACCUGCCCCAGACUCUGGGAUAACCCCGGGAAACCGGAGCUAAUACCGGAUACGACACGGAGAGGCAUCUCUACCUUGUGGAAAGUUUUUCGGUCUGGGGUGGACUCGCGGCCUAUCAGCUUGUUGGUGAGGUAAUGGCUCACCAAGGCGACGACGGGUAGCCGGCCUGAGAGGGCGACCGGCCACACUGGGACUGAGACACGGCCCAGACUCCUACGGGAGGCAGCAGUGGGGAAUAUUGCACAAUGGGCGAAAGCCUGAUGCAGCGACGCCGCGUGAGGGAUGAAGGCCUUCGGGUUGUAAACCUCUUUCAGCAGGGAAGAGCGAAAGUGACGGUACCUGCAGAAGAAGCACCGGCUAACUACGUGCCAGCAGCCGCGGUAA
This 487-nucleotide ribosomal RNA is filed under the name uncultured bacterium. RNAcentral's name for it is "SSU rRNA". It matches the Rfam family "Bacterial small subunit ribosomal RNA", at positions 26 to 523 of the family's 1533-position model. The record is from RNAcentral.